RNAcentral lists this transfer RNA (73 nucleotides) under Bacteroidales bacterium. RNAcentral's name for it is "tRNA-Phe". It matches the Rfam family "tRNA". Rfam says of the family: Transfer RNA (tRNA) molecules are approximately 80 nucleotides in length. Lineage: Bacteria; Pseudomonadati; Bacteroidota; Bacteroidia; Bacteroidales. The record is from RNAcentral.
GGUGCCAUAGCUCAGUUGGUAGAGCAAUGGACUGAAAAUCCAUGUGUCCCUGGUUCGAUCCCGGGUGGCACCA